UUCGUAGGCGGUUUAAUAAGUUUGUAGUUAAAUCCGGUCGCUCAACGAUCGAAUUGUUGCGAAAACUAUUAAACUAGAGAAUGGUAGAGGCAACUGGAAUUCUGCAAGUAGGGGUAAAAUCCGUUGAUAUGCAGAGGAACACCAAAAGCGAAGGCAGGUUGCUGGGCCAUUUCUGCGCUAAAGGACGAAAGCGUGGGGAGCGAACA
This 206-nucleotide ribosomal RNA is filed under the name uncultured bacterium. RNAcentral describes it as "partial 16S ribosomal RNA". It matches the Rfam family "Bacterial small subunit ribosomal RNA", at positions 568 to 774 of the family's 1533-position model. The record is from RNAcentral.